This is a long non-coding RNA of Amphiprion ocellaris (clown anemonefish), 3366 nucleotides long. Lineage: Eukaryota; Metazoa; Chordata; Actinopteri; Pomacentridae. The record is from Ensembl.
AAAAUUUAGAAUGAGAUUGUGCCUUUUUUUAAAGCCAACUUUUAUCAAAUACCCCCAGCAAAACGUUAUAUCACACACUACCACCAUGCCUUCUGCUUUUGUAAAAGAGAGAUACAGAAUAAGCAAAUCUACACAUAUAUAUUUUAUUCAAAUAUAUAUUGAAUUCAAAUAUUAUAUUUCAAUAUGGUCAUUUGAUACAAAUCAGAAAAAUCCUACUAUUUUUAAUGGUAAAGAUAUGUAUAUAUUCUAGCGGGCAUAUUAUUACCAGUAUAAUUCAGCCUUUGCCUUCUCACCCUUGCCUUCUCUUGACCGUUGAGCUGCGAUGACAAAGGCCACCGGUGUCAGAAUUUUAUAUUUAUAUUGUAAAAACAAAAAAAAAAGUGUAUUCAGGGGAGAGAGGGGUGUGACGGGACAAACAAGCGAGCGCGAACAUUUAGCCAGACCUGGGUCGGACCGUGUUUGUUUUAACACGCGUGGAGCGGCAGCUGGGUGGAGUUUACCACGUCAGAACGGUCACAGGAAGGUAUAUUAGUUGUAUUUUUGUGUGUUUGGUUCAUUUAUUUCCUGCUUGGUGCGCUCCACCCGCCUCAAACUGAACUCCUAAAUUAUUUGCAGCCACCGUUUAACCCACAUCGGCUGAAAAGUUUAGGGGAAAAAAAAAAAAAAACACAUGGAGGCGCAGGUGAAGCGUUCUGAUUGGGCGACACAGAUGUGCAGAUACGACUGGACUUUGGUUUGAGCGUGGCCUGUGGACUGCAUCGGCUCGGUGUGAACUCGUGGUCUGAUCUGAACCCUCACAGACACACUGUCCUGGUUAGCAGCGAGGCUUUACUGUGGCUACAAUAAAGGGAAACGUGACAUCACGUGUGACAUCAGACGCCCCCGCAGUCUCUCUGGAGGAGACGGUCCGACCAUAGAAACUACACCCAGUCACACACAGCGAGGAAAUGGCAUCACUAAACCUCAGAGCGCCGCGGAGAGAGAGGGACUUCCCAUAAUGUGACUCGCCCGCUCUGGCUGCUGUGUGUGUGGUUUCUAUGGUUAUGCCAUCUACACACAGAACGUUAUUCAACACGGCCUACAGAGACUCCUGGUCCGAGUUAUUUAGCCCCGUUUUUCUUGUCCAGAUCAUCCAACCAGCUCCAGUCUCAUGCAGUUAAACCCUAAUUAUUCAAAGCCGAGCCAAAAUUUGAUUUAUGGUGAUAUUUUUAUUUGACCAGUAAGGUUUCUUCUGACUGGAAAUGACAUGAACAAGUGACAAAGACAGUAAAACAUUGUGUUAGGGAUGUUAAUGAUGAGUUUUAACUAUCUUGUGCUGUUUUUUUUAUGCAUUUUUACUAAAAAUACCGUCUUCUCAGUAAUCAAUCUUGAGCACAAACAUGGUUCUAAGAAGCUUUUGCAUGUUUUCACAGGAAUUUUGGACAUUUUGGCCAAAAAGUCAGCAUCUUUGUUCAGUGUCUGAUUGAGAUGCUGUUUCCAGAACUGUUCAGAUUCAGGGACAAUUCUCCUUGGAUUCUACUAUUCUUGCCAGUACAGGAGUCACUUCUGGUUUCCAAGCAACCUCUUUAAGACUUUUGACAGUGUGGAGCUCCUUGUACACUUUGAUUAAGCUUUGCACUGUGGCUACUUCCACUUUAAAACUCUUGAUAAUGACUUUAUAGCUUUUCAUUCCCUUGUGUCAAGUGAUAUAACAAUGUUUUAGAGAUUUUAAUGAUACAUUUUAGCAAUUUCUAUGUUUUUUUUUUUAGAUUUGUACUUGAAAUUGCCUCAAACUUUUGAGAAAAUGCACCUUCAGAUUAUGAUAGAAAUUGAACCAUUUUGAAUGAGAGCAUUGAGCAUUUAAAUGUGCUUUAAGUUGAGAACAACUCAUGCAGUCGUGCUUUGGUCAGUUUUUAAUCAAUUUUAAGUCAUGGCUGAAACCAAAGAACUCAGUUAAGACCUCCAGUUGCACGUUGUGGCUUCUCACAAGACAAGGAAAAGCUUUAAAACGUAUCCAAGUGUUUGUAAGUGCAAGCGGCCACAGUGACAAGCAGAAUUAAAAAGUACAAGAAGUUCCACAAGGGCUUCAGAAAGACAAAAAGUGGCCUCUGCUUUGGAAAAAAUGGUAGAAUCCAACGAUUAACACCAGGAGUAUCCUGAUGAAUCUGAGUCAGGAUCACAAAAGGUCCAAAAUCCUACUGGAGACAUGAAAAAAAGCUGUUUGCUGUGGUGGCAAAAAAAGGCUUUAAAAUUAAGCUUGAAUACAUUUUUUGACUUUAAAAAUGUUAAAUAAUCCACUUAGAAACAAUUAAGCUUCAUUGUGAGCAUCUCAAACACAAUUUUCUUAACAACCUUUGUCACUUUUUUGUGCCGUUUCCAACCAGAAGAAAGCUACAGCUCAAAGAAAAAUGUACUAUAAAUCAAAACUUGUCCUGUUUUUGAAUAGUUUUUAGUCUUUAACUGUAUCGCUGUCUUUAAUUUCAUUCGUUUUCUUCACCAGGCACCAGAAAGUCUCACAUCUAUCCUUCUGAUCUGGAUUUAACCUGAAGAUUUGUUAAACUGUGCCUGCAAAUCCAUUUAGGGGACUUUAAGGACAGAUGUAGCAGUUAGCAAGCGUCUGUUAAAGGAAGUCAACACCUGAACUGUCACACCUGUGCUGCCUUACCUGUCGUGGCUUCAAACUACAAACACAAGAGAACAACUGUUUCCCCGCCAGGUCGAUACUCUCACCCCUCGACUUCACCGAUGCUGUUCUUAUCUUUUGUUUUUUUUCUCCUGUAUUUUUUCAGACAUAUUACUGUUACUCUUGUAAUUAUUAUAUUAUUAACAUUUUUUUGAUUUUGUUGUACCCUCUUGCCAUUGGCCCGGCCUCUUCUCCAUGAAUUCCUGGUUGUUUUUCUGUGAGUUCUUGUUCCAGUUUGCACUCUUUCCUCAUGAACCUUAACUAGUCGGCUUCAGCGCAGUCUCUUUUUGUUGUUUUUUUAAUUUUUAUUUUUAAGCUCACGCUGAUUUUAUAACCAUGUUACUGUGGACAAGAGGAGGGUCACAUGAUUCCCACAUGAUAUACAAGCGAGGGGAAGAAACAAUUGUUUUCUUUUUUUUUGAUGUUGUGUAUAUAUAUAUUUUUUCCAUUUUGGAGGAUUCUGUAAGAAAAGAAGAGCAUUGUACUGUUUAACCAUUGUAUUAUUUGACAUGCGUCCCUUCCUGUCCUCUCAGAGCGUCUUCGUCUCUCCUUUCACCUCGGCGGUGAAGUUUCACUCCAGAGGAGAGACGGAGGCUUUUGUUUUUAUCACGGAGGAUCCACCUGUACUUCUGUUUCCCUUCUAUCUGUUCAUCUUCAUUUGUAAUUAAAUAAUAAUCAGGGUUCAUUAAAAAAGGUUAAAAAUG